Molecule: ribosomal RNA, 735 nt
Filed under: Staphylococcus aureus
Lineage: Bacteria; Bacillati; Bacillota; Bacilli; Caryophanales; Staphylococcaceae
Description: partial 23S ribosomal RNA
Rfam family: Bacterial large subunit ribosomal RNA
Source: RNAcentral
ACAAGUAGUCAGAGCCCGUUAAUGGGUGAUGGCGUGCCUUUUGUAGAAUGAACCGGCGAGUUACGAUUUGAUGCAAGGUUAAGCAGUAAAUGUGGAGCCGUAGCGAAAGCGAGUCUGAAUAGGGCGUUUAGUAUUUGGUCGUAGACCCGAAACCAGGUGAUCUACCCUUGGUCAGGUUGAAGUUCAGGUAACACUGAAUGGAGGACCGAACCGACUUACGUUGAAAAGUGAGCGGAUGAACUGAGGGUAGCGGAGAAAUUCCAAUCGAACCUGGAGAUAGCUGGUUCUCUCCGAAAUAGCUUUAGGGCUAGCCUCAAGUGAUGAUUAUUGGAGGUAGAGCACUGUUUGGACGAGGGGCCCCUCUCGGGUUACCGAAUUCAGACAAACUCCGAAUGCCAAUUAAUUUAACUUGGGAGUCAGAACAUGGGUGAUAAGGUCCGUGUUCGAAAGGGAAACAGCCCAGACCACCAGCUAAGGUCCCAAAAUAUAUGUUAAGUGGAAAAGGAUGUGGCGUUGCCCAGACAACUAGGAUGUUGGCUUAGAAGCAGCCAUCAUUUAAAGAGUGCGUAAUAGCUCACUAGUCGAGUGACACUGCGCCGAAAAUGUACCGGGGCUAAACAUAUUACCGAAGCUGUGGAUUGUCCUUUGGACAAUGGUAGGAGAGCGUUCUAAGGGCGUUGAAGCAUGAUCGUAAGGACAUGUGGAGCGCUUAGAAGUGAGAAUGCCGGUGUGAGU